Salvia miltiorrhiza (redroot sage) is the source of this 460-nucleotide long non-coding RNA. RefSeq lists it as uncharacterized. The record is from RefSeq and is a predicted model, not a curated record. The transcript has 3 exons. NCBI's taxonomy places the organism in Eukaryota, Viridiplantae, Streptophyta, Magnoliopsida, Lamiales, Lamiaceae.
UAUAUCCUUCCUUUAUUCUCUUCCAUCUUCAAGUGAAUCAGGGUUUGUUGUACCUCGCGGAUGGAGUAAAUUGUUUGAGAACUUUUUAUUUCUUUCAAUAGUUUCAGACAAUCCAGAGAUGGUGCUAGAACCUUUAACACAAGCUUCGGAAGAACUUCAACUAUUGGAGUAUCAUGAAUUAGCAUCAGAAGCUUUCUACUUGAUGGCCAUUGUAUACGACAAGCUCGGGCGGUUUGAUGACAGGGAAGAAGCCGCGUCUUCGUUUAGGAAGCACAUUACUGCAUUUGAGAAUCCAGAAGAAAUGGACGAUUCUCUCUUCAGAAAGUCCCACUAACAGAGCCAAUAUCCCUUGACAUAUCAGUUAAAGACAAUACACAAGACUUAACUUCUGCAUUCUUAUCGAUAUGUUCCAGCCUGUGGCUCGAAGAGAUACCACAAUCUGUGACCAGUAAAAUCAAGA